RNAcentral lists this ribosomal RNA (253 nucleotides) under uncultured bacterium. RNAcentral describes it as "partial 16S ribosomal RNA". It matches the Rfam family "Archaeal small subunit ribosomal RNA", at positions 474 to 727 of the family's 1478-position model. The record is from RNAcentral.
UACCAGCUCCUCGAGUGGUCGGGGCGAUUAUUGGGCCUAAAGCAUCCGUAGCCGGUUCAGUAGGUCUUCUGCAAAAUCCAAUCGCUUAACGGUUGGCCCGCAGGAGAUACCGCUGGACUAGGAGGCGGGAGAGGUGGACGGUACUCCAUGGGUAGGGGUAAAAUCCUUUGAUCCGUGGAAGACCACCAGUGGCGAAGGCGGUCCACCAGAACGCGCUCGACGGUGAGGGAUGAAAGCUGGGGGAGCGAACCGG